AAUUGCCCAAAGACAAUUAACCUGCAUAAGCACCACAGAUUAAAUGGGGUAUGCUGAGAUUUCUUCUCAUACAUGUAAAUUGUUCAUCAAAAAAAUAGAAGAGAAAGGCCAUAAAGUCCACAAAAUUAAAUAACGAUGAGCUAUUGCAAAAAACCAAAAUAUUGCAACCGAUGCCCUUGAAAGAAACAAAACACAACAUCUGGGAUCCAUUUCUUCCUUCCCCACGUAAACAAUGUACCGGUUUAGGGAAAACCUUUCUGCUAAUCCAAAACCAACACAUUCUCCAUUAGAUAGCACCUUAGCUUAAAAAUGUACCUGGAUUUUCUCCACAUCAUCA
This 337-nucleotide unclassified non-coding RNA is filed under the name Hevea brasiliensis (rubber tree). Lineage: Eukaryota; Viridiplantae; Streptophyta; Magnoliopsida; Malpighiales; Euphorbiaceae. The record is from RNAcentral.